RNAcentral lists this small nuclear RNA (144 nucleotides) under Monodelphis domestica (gray short-tailed opossum). Its description in RNAcentral is "U4 spliceosomal RNA". It matches the Rfam family "U4 spliceosomal RNA". Rfam says of the family: U4 small nuclear RNA (U4 snRNA) is a component of the major U2-dependent spliceosome. The structure of U4 snRNA from yeast and human has been reported. The record is from Rfam by way of RNAcentral. Lineage: Eukaryota; Metazoa; Chordata; Mammalia; Didelphimorphia; Didelphidae.
AGUUUUGCGCAGUGGCAGUAGCAUAGCCAAUGAGGUUUAUCCAAGGUAUGAUUAUUGUUAAUUAAAAGAGGAAUGUAUUCAAAACCAUGGUUGGAGUAGUGAAAUUCAGGUCUAUGUGACAUAUUUUAGGAAGGACACUGGGUC